This 298-nucleotide long non-coding RNA is filed under the name Setaria viridis. RNAcentral's name for it is "long non-coding RNA (SVIR_LNC008288)". The record is from RNAcentral. Lineage: Eukaryota; Viridiplantae; Streptophyta; Magnoliopsida; Poales; Poaceae.
GCUCAGAGGGUCCUGGCGGCGCAUCCCCGAGUGCCGUCGCCGCCGAAGCGACGCGAGGACGCUAGCGCCAACUCGCCAAGCCCCCGCCGCUCCGUCCAAGCGCCGCCGUCCAUCAGCCUUCCCAACCGGCGCCGCUGCCCCUACGCCUUCCCGUCCGGCACCGCUGCCCCUACGCCUCUCCACCUCCUCGGACCUGCAACGGCGCCUCCGGCCUCCGCCUCGGCUGCCACUUCCGCAUCCACCACGGCGUCGGCACCUCGUCUUCCUCGGCUGGCAUAUGUGAGUCCUCCUCCUCCCC